Molecule: ribosomal RNA, 559 nt
Filed under: uncultured archaeon
Lineage: Archaea
Description: bacterial SSU rRNA
Rfam family: Archaeal small subunit ribosomal RNA
Source: RNAcentral
ACACGUGGAUAACCUGCCCUUGGGACCGGCAUAACCCCGGGAAACUGGGGAUAAUUCCGGAUACCGCAUAUAUGCUGGAAUGCUUUAUGCGUGAAAUGGAUUCGUCUGCCCAAGGAUGGGUCUGCGGCCUAUCAGGUAGUAGUGGGUGUAAUGUACCUACUAGCCAACGACGGGUACGGGUUGUGAGAGCAAGAGCCCGGAGAUGGAUUCUGAGACAUGAAUCCAGGCCCUACGGGGCGCAGCAGGCGCGAAAACUUUACAAUGCGGGAAACCGUGAUAAGGGGACACCGAGUGCCAGCAACAUUUGUUGGCUGUCCAGGUGUGUAAACUACACCUGUUAGCAAGGGCCGGGCAAGACCGGUGCCAGCCGCCGCGGUAACACCGGCGGCCCGAGUGGUGAUCGUGAUUAUUGGGUCUAAAGGGUCCGUAGCCGGUUUGGUCAGUCCUCCGGGAAAUCUGACGGCUUAACCGUUAGGCUUUCGGGGGAUACUGCCAGGCUUGGAACCGGGAGAGGUAAGAGGUACUACAGGGGUAGGAGUGAAAUCUUGUAAUCCCUGUG